Molecule: ribosomal RNA, 253 nt
Filed under: uncultured bacterium
Lineage: Bacteria
Description: partial 16S ribosomal RNA
Rfam family: Bacterial small subunit ribosomal RNA
Source: RNAcentral
UACAGAGGUCCCGAGCGUUGUUCGGAUUUAUUGGGCGUAAAGGGCGCGUAGGCGGCGCGGGCAGUCAACGGUGAAAGCUCGGGGCUCAACCCCGAGUCGGCCGUCGAUACUCCCGUGCUCGAGCACUGUAGAGGCAGGUGGAAUUCCGGGUGUAGCGGUGGAAUGCGUAGAGAUCCGGAAGAACACCGGUGGCGAAGGCGGUCUGCUGGGCAGUUGCUGACACUGAGGCGCGACAGCGUGGGGAGCAAACAGG